Molecule: long non-coding RNA, 4184 nt
Organism: Orcinus orca (killer whale)
Lineage: Eukaryota; Metazoa; Chordata; Mammalia; Artiodactyla; Delphinidae
Exons: 5
Source: RefSeq, a predicted model, not a curated record
CCCACUGCGCCUGCGCACUCCUAACCCCGCGCUCAACCCCGUGACCCGAGUGAGAGAGGACUUGUUGGAGGGAAGGGCCGGGGAGGGCGCGUCGCUGCGCGCCCGGGGUCGGGGGGCCGCCUGGACCGCGCAGGCGCGCUGGGGACCAAAGGGAGUGCCUGCUGGCCCAUCCUAGUAGUUCAGAGCUACUUUGCCUUCAGGACUGAAAUCUAGGUAACAACAUGUUUAAAUCAAGAUUAUGUGAAGCACCCUUCAAAGGAGAUUUAACAGUGUGCCCUAUCACUUAUCAGCUCUAUCUUAUCUAGGAUCUAUUUCUAGGCUAUUCAUCCUGUCCAUUUCUCUGCCUAUUUCUGUGACUGCUGUUACUGUCACAGUCUUUUCAUUUUUCAACUGACUCAAGCUCUGGAUAGGUAACGCAAAAGGGGCCACCUGUGAAAUACUGCUAAUGACAGCCUCUUCAAUUUACCAUUAAGAGGGCAACAUAAGCUGCAUUUUCAGAAGGUCUUAUGAUCAACAGGAACUUGAUGACAUAUAAAACAUAUGAACAGAUGAAAAUAUAUGGACCCUUCUAAAGAAUGCUCACAGUAGCUUCAAUCAUUAUGAUCUCAAAAUUGAAACAAUGCAAAUAUCAUUCAACAAUGAAAGAAGCCAGACACAAAAGACUACAUAUUGUAUGAUCCUGUUUAUAUUAAGCUCAAGAACAUAUGAAUUAAGCUAUGAUGAUAAGAGUUGCAGGAGAGGCUGGCUACCUCUCGGGGAAGAGGAACUGACUGGAAAAUGUCAUAAGGAAAUCUUCUAAGGUGAUGGAAUAUUGCAAAGCUUGGUCUGGGUGAUGGCUACAUGGCUGGAUACAUAUGUGAAAUUAAUUGUGCUAUACAAUUAAGGAACAAAGGAAGUUAGUGUGAAGUGGAAUUACUGGGUCACAGAGGUAUGUAUUUUUGUUUGUUUCAAUAAAUACCACUGAAUUGGCCUCAGAACUGUCUGUACCAAUUUCAGUUCCCCUUCCUUCACACUAUCACUAACACUUGAUAUUGUCAGGUUUUAAAAUUUUUAUCAAUCUGAUAGGUAAAGAAUGGACUGUAAUUUGCAAUGCCCUGAUUAUUAGUGAGGUUUAGCAUCUUUUCCUAGUCAUUUGUGUUUUUAUUUCUGUAAAUGACUUGUUUAUAUCUCUUAUCUAUUUUGCUCUCAUGUGUUUUAACUUUAUUGAUUUGUAGAAAUACUUUGUAUAAUUUGGAUAUUGAUCCAUGUUGUAUUUACAUAUGAUACAAAUAUCUUUUUCCAAAUUUGUCACUUCUCUUUGAACUUUGUUCAUGGUAUUUUGUAAGAGAUUUAUUUAAAUUUUGAUAUUGUCAAAUUUAUUGGCAAGGUUGUGGGCAUAUUCUUCUAAAUUUUCUUUACUAGCACUUAAAUAAAGUAUCAGGGUUACUAGCUUUGAUGGGUAAUUUUAUUUGUGAACUUGACUGUGCCAUGACAUGCCCAGAUAGCUGGUUAAACAUUAUCUCUGGGUGUGUCUGUGAGGGUGUUUUUGGAAGAGAUUAGCAGUUGAAUUGGUGAACUGAGUAAAGCAGAAAGCCCUUCCCAAUAUGGGUGGGCAUCAUCCAAUCCACUAUGAGCCUGAAUAGCACAAAAAUGUGGAAGAAGAUUCAAUUAACUGGGCUUGACUGCUUGGGCUGCAACAUCGAUCUCUCUUGCCAUUGGUGCUCCUGUUUCCAGGUCUUCAGACCCGGAUUGGAGUCUACACCAUUAGCUCUCUGACUCUCAAGUCUUUGAGCUACAUCACCAGCUUUCCUGGGCCUCCAGCUUGCAGACAGCAGAUAGUGGGGCUUCUCAGCAUCCAUAAUUGCAUGAGCCAAUAUAUUGUAAUUAACCUCUCUCUCUCUCUCUCUUUAUAUAUAUAUAUAUAUAUAUAUAUACUCACACACACACACAAAAAACAGAAAAUUAUAAUAUAUAAAACAAAAUUUUAAUAUAUAUAAUUUUAUAUGUUAUAUAUAUAACAACAGUAUAUAUAAAUAUAAUAUAUAAUAUAUAUAAUUUAUAUAUAAAUAUUGGAAGAUUUAUCAGGGAAGAGAUUCAUUCUUUGGAGAAUAAAUGAAGAGGUUUACAUAUACAAAUUAUAUAUUUUGUAGACAGACUUUUUUAACAUACUGAUAAAAUUAACAUAUUUCGGUAUAACCAUUCUAUACCAAGACUGUGCUAAAGGUCGCAAGAUUUACAUACAGGGGCAAGGUGUAAUGUCAUGGGAGUUUAAGAGAGAGAUUUGAUCUCUCUGCUGUUGGUGGUGGCAAUGGUGUAUUUGGGGAAGAGCAGGAUUACAGAGGGUCUAGUGGUAUUUAAGAUAUUUCUUGAUUUUAUGCAAGAUUACAAGUGGCCACAAAUUAUCUGACACUGUUCCCAUUGAAUGUGGACUGGCCUGUGACUGCUUUCAUAAGCAGAGACUGCCACUAGUGACACCCAGCCACGUCUGGACCAACCUUUUCAGAGGACUACAGGCAGCUUCCGCUUUGGUUUCUGGGCACCCUCAGUCGCCAUGACGACCUUGGGUUAGCAAGAGAGGAGCCAAGGUGAGCCCAGCCCUCCCGCUGCUCUUGCCAAGGCACUAGGACAUAAGUAAAGCCAUCUUGGAGCUUCCAGAUAUGUUUAGCAACCUUGAACAUCACCCAGCAUCCCUUUUGAUCCCAUGUGCCUGAACUCCUGAUCCGUAUAACCACAGACUUCUCACAGAGCAAACACAAACCCUAACGGAAUCAUCUAGAAAUAAAUUCCAAUGUCUGCCCUUGAAACAAUUAGGUGUUUUUGGUACUGUCAGUCUAGUGCAAAGUAUGAGCACUGUGGCUUGAUUCAGUGUGGGAUCUGCAUUGUAAGUAUCAGGACAGGAGAGGAUGGGGGAUCAGCAGGCACCAUUUUCUUAUUUUACACUUGACAAACUGUGCCUGAGAGAGACUGAGUGACCUGGCUAAGGACUCAUAGGGAUUAGUGGCAGAACCUAGAACAGACUUUGGAUUCCUGACCCUUCUGGAGCUUUUUGCUGUACUGCAUUGCCAGCCCCAAGCACGUGUGUGGCCACGUGUGCACAGACCCACUGGGCGCAAAAAGAUUAUUUGGUCUUAAAAUUGUAUAACUCAUUAAUUUAAAAACUAUGUUACAAGCUGAUUUCUAGGACCAAACAAUCAUUUUAACCACCAGUGUAUACAGUAGUAUGCUAGCAAAUGUUUAACACCUGCUUCUCUGAAGACAAAAGAAGUCCUAAUUUGUAGGAUUUGCUAAAUGCUAUGGUGUAGGUGAUCCCACUGUGACCAAAUUCAAGCUACCAUUGCAAGGUUACCUGACAUGAACUUGGGAGUUGGGUAGAGACGUACAGGGGCGAGCUGGCCCAGCACGCCAAGGAGGACACCACUUCAGAAAAAGUCAACAUAAACACGCCUGUCUUAAUUUGAAAGAGACACAUCUGAAGUGAUUACUCACAAAAGACUCUUUAAAAAAUGAGUCACUGUAUUGCUUCUUUGAAGAGCUGGAACUUUUAAGUACAUUUAAAUAUUAUUGGGAGAACAAUAUUUCAAUUUACUUAUAGCAUAUAAGUAAUGAAUCACUGCCAAAAACAUUGAUAGCCCUUGUGGACAAUACUCACCAAAUAUUCCCCAUGCUCCUCACGUUUCCCAGACUCCCUUGCCAUUGGGUCAGACCCAUGUGACAAGUUUAGACCAAUGGCUUAUGAAUUGAUGUGUGUAACCUCUGGACCAAGGUAGUCAAGGGCUGUGACUUCUCUGUCCUGCACAAAGCCUGGAGGCCAGAGGCUGAAGUGGCGGCAUCACAGAAUGAAGGGAGCCUGAAUUCUUGAAUCAAUAAAUGGAAGACAACACUGCUGACCCUCUUCAGACUUUGCAAGAACAAGAAAAAAUUUUAUGUGUCUAAAGCCAUUGAGAUUUGGGGGUUUGUUACGACACCACAGCAAGGAUUAUCUUGACUAAUAAAGUUAUAAAAUCAACUUGAAAGCUAACUUCCUUUUCAAGGUACUUUUCAUAUAUUUGAACUGGUGGAAACAAGACGACGACAUGACUUAGAAACAGAAGAAUGAAAAUGAGAUAAAAAUGAGCCUCCAGUUUCCUAUUAACCAGCAACUGUUUCUGAUGCUUUUUAAUAUGGGAAUAAGGCUCACAGACUAUUAGGAAGCCUUUUAUAUAUAA